CCUACGGGGGGCAGCAGUGAGGAAUAUUGGUCAAUGGGCGAGAGCCUGAACCAGCCAAGUCGCGUGAAGGAUGACGGCCCUACGGGUUGUAAACUUCUUUUGUCAGGGAGCAAUUUGGUCCACGCGUGGGCUUAGCGAGAGUACCUGCAGAAAAAGCAUCGGCUAACUCCGUGCCAGCAGCCGCGGUAAUACGGAGGAUGCGAGCGUUAUCCGGAUUUAUUGGGUUAAAGGGGUGCGUAGGCGGAAUAUCAAGUCAGCGGUAAAAAUUCGGGGCUCAACCCCGUCGUGACGUUGAAACUGAUGGUCUUGAGUGGGCGAGAAGUAGGCGGAAUGCGUGGUGUAGCGGUGAAAUGCAUAGAUAUCACGCAGAACUCCGAUUGCGAAGGCAGCAUACCGGCGCCCAACUGACGCUGAAGCACGAAAGCGUGGGUAUCGAACAGGAUUAGAUACCCUGGUAGUC
This 460-nucleotide ribosomal RNA is filed under the name uncultured bacterium. RNAcentral describes it as "partial 16S ribosomal RNA". It matches the Rfam family "Bacterial small subunit ribosomal RNA", at positions 338 to 795 of the family's 1533-position model. The record is from RNAcentral.